RNAcentral lists this small nuclear RNA (280 nucleotides) under Sorex araneus (European shrew). RNAcentral's name for it is "7SK RNA (ENSSARG00000018921.1)". It matches the Rfam family "7SK RNA". From Rfam's summary of the family: 7SK was discovered as an abundant small nuclear RNA in the mid-70s but a possible function has only recently been suggested. Two independent studies have found that 7SK RNA binds the CDK9/cyclin T complex (known as elongation factor P-TEFb). P-TEFb activates transcription by phosphorylating the C-terminal domain of RNA polymerase II. Lineage: Eukaryota; Metazoa; Chordata; Mammalia; Eulipotyphla; Soricidae. The record is from RNAcentral.
AGAUGAGGGCAUUCUGGCUGUGACAUCCGUAAUCCCAUUGAUCGCCAGGGUUGAUUCAGCUGAUCUGACUGGCUAGGCAGGGGUCCCCUUCCUCCCUCAGCACUCCAGGUGUGUCCCUCCAUGUGCACCGCUGAAGAGGUAAGUCUUUCCCGAGUAGAAACAGACCAGUCUUUGGUCAAGGGUACAGGAGAAGCUGUGCUCUACUGCUAGAAUCUCAAACAAGCUCUCAAAGAAGACAAGUUGUUAUUUUCAACCUGGGUAAACCUCAAAAGUGAUAUUU